GCCUUAUUUGGUACCCAGGAGGACAUGCCAGACUACCUUUUUUUUUUCUGUGGAUGUUUUGCAAAUGAAUUCCUGGGGCUGUAGUCUGAGCUGCAAAGGGUUACUAUAAAAUCAUAUAAUCAUUAACAUUGGAAAAGAUCUCUAAGAUCCCCAAGUUCAACCAUCAACUGUUAUAUUACACUUCAAAAUCCUGGAAAACAGUGAGAUCUCUACAUGCAAAUAUCAGGGGGACUUCAUGGGGAGGAAUUGUUCACAUCUAUGCUUUCUGCAGUAGCUGAAAAGAAACUGUCAUUUGCACAGCAUUUAUAUGUGAAAAGAAACACUUAGUAUGCCCAAGACUGAAUGGACAUCUAUUGAAUUUAAGCAGUUAAAGAAUUGUCUCCCUGGAGUGAUAAAAGGAAUAAAGUGAAUUGACAGAUACAUCAGUCCAUUUGUGAUGUCAUUGAAUAUUGCACUGUUGGAGUAGGCAGAGCUGUUGUUGUGGUCCUGCAUGAAGGAUUCUGUAGAAGAGCUCAAUAUCAUUGUGACUGCAGAGGACCUUUCCUUGUACCCUCUCUGAAUCUAACACACAUUUUACUGUGGAUCUGGAAAGAAAUAAUGAAGAUACUUUAUUACAUUCAGAACUUGCUUCAAAGUGAAUUUCAACAUCUACCAUAGUGGUUAAGCAGCUAUAACAUGUGGGAACAGCAUUCUGCUACUGAUUUUGCCCAUCAAAAAAGAACUUCCAGGCUUCUGCAAAAGUGAUUGUUCACUAUAUCACUGAGUCUGGUGUCUGCCAUACUUCAUGUCUCCAAGGAAUAACCAAAAUGCUGAUUUAAGUUUCAAGCUGAUGAGUAAAUGCUGCCCCUACAUGAGGCACAUUCAUGUGGCUGAUUGCCAGUGGAUUACAGAGGCUGGUGCUAAGAUGAUUUCACUAUUGAAGCAUAUUCUUGUACUGAAUAUGGCAGACUGCACAAGGUACUAGAUCACAUCAGAUUUCUGUAAUUGU
Molecule: long non-coding RNA, 988 nt
Filed under: Zonotrichia albicollis (white-throated sparrow)
Lineage: Eukaryota; Metazoa; Chordata; Aves; Passeriformes; Passerellidae
Description: lncRNA (ENSZALG00000012844.1)
Source: RNAcentral